Callithrix jacchus (white-tufted-ear marmoset) is the source of this 3140-nucleotide long non-coding RNA. RefSeq lists it as uncharacterized. The record is from RefSeq and is a predicted model, not a curated record. NCBI's taxonomy places the organism in Eukaryota, Metazoa, Chordata, Mammalia, Primates, Cebidae.
CUACUAACACAGCGCCAUCUGCUGGGUGCCUCGGCCAGUGUAAAAUGACCCGGGGCCCUGGCCGUGUAUUUGCGAGGAAAUUUACAGUCCAGGAAGGUUCAUUUCACAAAUCAAUGAGAAUUACGUAGAAAUCAUUUUGAGUUCUUUGGAAGAGAAAGUGUUGGCAAAAAUUCCAAGACAUUCUCAUUUAUUUCGCGAGGCUGCUGGGGUGCAGCGCAAACCUCUGGACUUGGGAGUCAGACGAUCUGGAUGGGGACAAGACUCAGCCACCUUAAAGUUGUGAUAUGAAGAUAGAAACUUAAGAGACAAAAUAUUGCCCUGUAGUUAAUAGGCUGGGAAUUAGAGCCACACUGCCUGGGUUCCACGCUUGAGCAAGUCACUUCCUACUCUGUGUCUGUGUCCUCAUCUGUAAAUGAAGAAAACAUACCCCUUACCCCACAGGUUUAUUGUAAUAAGUUAAUACAAAUUAAGCAGGUUGCCCAGUGCCCUGCACAGAUAAGCAUUGUUAAGGGUUACUAUUACUGUUGUCAUCAUUACCUCAUAUAGUUAUUGUGAGGAGCAGAACUAGUGUAUGUAAAGGUCUCACUACUUUUUUUUGUUUACUUGUGUCUAUCUAGUGCCUAAAAAAAGGUCCUAGCACACAGUAGGUGCUUGAUAUUUGUAUAUUUACAAAUGACUGGGUGAUAAGAAGUAAGAACCAAGCAAAAGGUUCCUUCUCUUUCCCAUAAAACACUCAGUGCUUGGCUGGGUUACAUUUCAAUAUAAGAGUUCAAGACAGUUUCUCUGAGGGUUGUAGGAUUACAAGAAACAAAGAAGAAGAAAAAUAUGACUCAGAAGUUAGAAACAUCGGCCUAGGAUACAAAUAGGAAUGAUACCUGCCUGUCCCUCAAGAUUCCUAAAGAGAGGUACUAAAGGAAACAUUUCCUACAGAAUAAGGCUGAAACGCCUUCCUCGACCUCACAUCUAAACGGGUCUCCAUUUUUCAAAUUGUUGCCCUCCCAUUGCCUGGACCCCCUGACUUGAGCAGCAUCUUCAGGACUCCAGUGGCAGGUAGAAUCUACUCAAAACCUACCAGGUGGAAGAAGGGGAGGAACAAUACUUUCCAAAGGCUUUUUUGUAUAUUCAAAUGCAGAGUAGCCAUGAUCAAAGAGGGGAAUUACAAAGAAUAAUCAGGAUUCUAAACAUGUGGACUGGAAGGAACAUCACUGUGGGCCUAGCGCUGAGAAGGACUUGGAGGGUGUCCGGAGAUGAGUUAACCAGAUUGUCUGGAUGAGACAACUUGCAGGCUGCAGAGCACAGGGCCACAGCAAUUGCGAAGGACACUGUCAAGGUCUGAAGAUGGAAUAGAAGAACGAGGAGAGUAUCUUCGAGAACUGCUUAGCCAGAGAGGUUAGGCAGAACAGCAGAAGCUAAGCACAUGACAACAGGAUCAGGACAGAGUGAGUGGUUUUGGAAGAAAAUGAAACAUGGGAAUGAUCAGUCACAGGCUUUCUAUAGGGUUUGAUUUUUUUUUUUUUUUUUUAGCCUCUAUGGGAUGGGAGACAGCUUUGGAAGUGCUGAGCUGCUACAGGCAAAAGUUCUAUACUCUUUCCUCUACUUUCUGGGCUUUUUGUUUUGGUGACAUCCCCCAUUCACAUUCUACCUUCAGACUCUCCUUCCUGCUUCUAGGAUUUUGUUUCAUUGAAUGUUUUUCAGCUCUUCUGGCUUCUACAAUUUGGGCAUCUCCCAUUGUCUGGGGUAAAAUUUUUACACUUUAGUCAAUGACAUCCCAGCCCUAACCCCUGACUCUCCCAACACCUUUUAGGUCAACUAUAUUCCUCUCCUUCAGUCACUGUCAUCCCACCAGGGUGCGGAUUCUGGAUUUAAAACAACAGCAAAAGCAGCUGGAACCAAGCAAGCCUAUUGCUUCAGAAUUCAAGAUCAUUUCUUUGCUGCUGAAGCCCCUGUACUCCUUCUCUGAUACUCGGUCCCUGCUCCAGUCUGGUCCCUUUUGGACUGUGUUAUUACACUUGGCAAACCAUGCAAGUGGGCUUGGGAAUCUAUUUUUUUUUUUCUUUUGAGAUGGAGUUUCUCUCUUGUUGCCCAGGCUGCAGUGCAAUGGCAUGAUCUUGGCUGACUGCAACCUCCGCCGCCCAGGUUCAAGCGAUUCUCCUGCCUCAGCCUCCCGAGUAGCUGGGAUUACAGGCAUGCACCACCAUCCUCAACUAAUUUUGUGUUUUUAGUAGAGACAGGGUUUCUCCAUGUUGGUCAAGCUGGUCUCAAACACCCUACCUCAGGUGACCCACCCACCUUGGCCUCCCAAAAUGCUGGGAUUACAAGCAUGAGCCACAGUGCCCGGCCGGCUUAGGAAUCUUAUAAAGAGGUCCCCUAAUAUGUCUUCCAUAUUGGGAAUUCCUCCAGGCUUUAGUUUUUUCUUUCUCUUUUGUUUCUAAUCCUGGCGUUUUCCCACAUAUAUUGGUUCUAUACCUUGCCCCUCUAGGACAGUAAGGAUAACAGGCACCCUACUCUGGUUGCUCUAGGAUGCCACCCUACUUGGCCAUUAUUUCAUUUUAUGCUAUCAGGAGAGGAUAAUCAGAAUUCCUUUGUUUCUAUGCUCUUUCUUGCUGUGUAAACAGAGCAAGAAAGAACUUUGAUAUUCUCUUUCUAAAAUGUUGCAAACAGAUCUUAGCCAACAGCAGCAAAAAACGGUGGUGGAAGUCUGCAUUUUGGAAACCAAUGAAAUGGAGUUGAAAUUCUGCAUCUAUCCAUCACCUAUUAGCUAGAAGACUUUGUGCAAGUUACUUAACCUUUCUAAGCCUUAGUUUUCUCAUGUGUAAAAUAGGAAUCAAAUCUUGAAGGGUUGUUGGGAGGCUUACAUAAUAUUAUGGGAGGAUAACAUCUGGCCUAUAUGAGCGAUUCAAUAAAUGCUGGCUAUUAUUGUUGGAUUCUUUGUUAUAAGAGCAGUCAUUAUCUACCUUCCCAGUUACUGAAUGGUGUUAAGGAGUCCAGUUGAUCUUAAAAAAAAAAAAAAGAAUGCAUUUGCUGAGAAGUACACAAAUGAAUCCCUCUUUAUGAGUGUCAGCCAAAAGAAGCAUAAAUAGCAAACUCUGCAAAGAAACACAUUCUGAUGUAUGGAAGAAUGCAGUUCAAGAAUACAAAUU